UGAGACCACUGUGUGCAUUUUGAAAUGUUCCAAAUGUGUGUCACGUCCAUACGGAAGAAGUUCCAAGCCCACAAUGGGCUCUAUGAACUGUCCAGGGCAAAGUCGGUCUACCCUGAUGACACUCCCUGUUCCUUGAUGGUAACCAUGGCUGCUGCCCUCAACGUGGUGGGUGUGGACUAUAGGAGCCCUCAGAAAUAAACUGAUAUCAAUAAUUAAUAUGGAUGGUGAUUGUGGCAAGGGUGCCUCCAUAAGGUGCCAUCCAGAAGCCCCAGCCUGGAGCCAGUGGCUGCUAUUGCAAGACUCAUGGGGGAUGAUCUGCAGGCAAAGCUACGAUUAGACACUUGACAUUUACUGCGAAAGGUACCAUCAGAGCACCUCUCCCUACCCUGCAGGAUAUCUAUACCAGAAAAGUACAACAACGGCCCAAAACUAUUUCCAAAAGACAUUUCACACCCUGACCAUGGACUGUUUAAACCACUGAGGUCAAGCAGACGUCUCUGUUCCCACAUGGCUAAAACAGAAAGGAAACAAGGAGUCUUUUCUCAAUAUGCUGCUCCAUCGCUCCACCCCUGAAACAUCAGUUUCGAUCUUGAACACAUGAGGAUGUUGCCUCAAGUUUGCCUGCAGACAGUCAAUAUAGACAGGUGUGUUGUUUUGGUUUGAUGUUUAGAUUGCCAUGCAUACAGUAUCUUUACAAUAAUGAUGGAACAAAUUCUCAUUUGGUUUUACCUACAUUGGGAUUAAAGGAACACUUAACCGUUUUUUCAUAUUAAACUACAUUAUUCCCUUAACUAAGACGAGUUGAUACAUACCUCUCACGUUUCAAUGCGUGCA
Long non-coding RNA from Sardina pilchardus (European sardine), 834 nucleotides. RefSeq lists it as uncharacterized. The record is from RefSeq and is a predicted model, not a curated record. The transcript has 5 exons. NCBI's taxonomy places the organism in Eukaryota, Metazoa, Chordata, Actinopteri, Clupeiformes, Clupeidae.